RNAcentral lists this ribosomal RNA (1753 nucleotides) under Clostridium beijerinckii. Its description in RNAcentral is "partial 23S ribosomal RNA". It matches the Rfam family "Bacterial large subunit ribosomal RNA", at positions 1 to 1759 of the family's 2925-position model. The record is from RNAcentral. Lineage: Bacteria; Bacillati; Bacillota; Clostridia; Eubacteriales; Clostridiaceae.
GGUCAAGCUACAAAGGGCGCAUGGUGAAUGCCUUGGCAUCAGGAGCCGAUGAAGGACGCGAUAAGCUGCGAUAAGCUUCGGGUAGACGCACAUAGUCAGAGAUCCGAAGAUUUCCGAAUGAGGAAACUCACAUGGGAAACCCCAUGUAUCAUAAAGUGAAUACAUAGCUUUAUGAAGGUAUACCCAGGGAACUGAAACAUCUAAGUACCUGGAGGAAGAGAAAGAAAAAUCGAUUUUCUUAGUAGCGGCGAGCGAAAAGGAAAGAGCCCAAACCAGAGAUUUAUCUCUGGGGUUGCGGACAGAACAUAACGAGAAAUCAUAGUUAAUUGAACACAACUGGAAAGUUGGACCACAGUGGGUAAUAGUCCCGUAAGUGAAAACUAUGAUAAUCAGUUCUGCACCAGAGUACCACGAGACACGUGAAACCUUGUGGGAAGCAGGGAGGACCACCUCCCAAGGCUAAAUACUACCUGAUGACCGAUAGUGAAGCAGUACCGUGAGGGAAAGGUGAAAAGAACCCCGGGAGGGGAGUGAAAUAGAACCUGAAACCAUGUGCCUACAACCGAUCAGAGCACCUUAUGUGUGUGAUGAUGUGCUUUUUGUAGAACGAGCCAACGAGUUACGGUAUGUAGCGAGGUUAAGUACUUAAGGUACGGAGCCGAAGGGAAACCGAGUCUUAAUAGGGCGACUAGUUGCAUGCUGUAGACCCGAAACCGGGUGACCUAUCCAUGGCCAGGUUGAAGCGAGGGUAAAACCUCGUGGAGGACCGAACCACGUUGCUGUUGAAAAAGCAUGGGAUGAGCUGUGGAUAGCGGAGAAAUUCCAAUCGAACUCGGAUAUAGCUGGUUCUCCUCGAAAUAGCUUUAGGGCUAGCGUCGGAAAAUGUGAGUAGUGGAGGUAGAGCACUGAAUAGGCUAGGGGGCAUAGCGCUUACCGAACCUUAUCAAACUCCGAAUGCCACAUACUAUCAGUCCGGCAGUCAGACUAUGAAAGAUAAGUUCCAUGGUCAAAAGGGAAACAGCCCAGAUCGUCAGCUAAGGUCCCAAAGUGUAAGUUAAGUGGAAAAGGAUGUGGGAUUUCUAAGACAACUAGGAUGUUGGCUUAGAAGCAGCCACUCAUUAAAAGAGUGCGUAAUAGCUCACUAGUCAAGAGAUCCUGCGCCGAAAAUGUCCGGGGCUCAAACUUACCACCGAAGCUACGGGUUCACGCUUAUGCGUGAGCGGUAGAGGAGCGUCGUAAUCGGGCUGAAGUCGUACCGUAAGGAGCGGUGGACUGAUUACGAGUGAGAAUGUUGGCAUUAGUAGCGAGAUGUAGGCGAGAAUCCUACAGGCCGAAUAUCUAAGGUUUCCUGAGUAAAGUUUGUCUUCUCAGGGUUAGUCGGGACCUAAGGCGAGGCCGAAAGGCGUAGUCGAUGGACAAUUGGUUGAUAUUCCAAUACCACUAUAAUCGUUAUUAUCGAUGGUGUGACGGAGAAGGAUAGGAUGUGCUAGCUAUUGGAUGCUAGUCUAAGCGUUUAGGGAGUUGGGAUUGGCAAAUCCGUUCCAACAAUUCUGAGGCGUGAUGGGGAAGGUUCUACGGAACCGAAGUAUCUGAUUCCAUGCUUCCAAGAAAAGCAUCUAGAGAGAGAAGUAGUGCCCGUACCGCAAACCGACACAGGUAGAUGAGGAGAGAAUCCUAAGGCCGACGGAAGAAUUGCAGUUAAGGAACUAGGCAAAUUGACCCCGUAACUUCGGGAGAAGGGGUGCCUGAGAAA